UGUUUUAUUCGUAGACUAUUAAGUUUUAAUAUAUCUUUAUAACCAUUUAUUAUGUUUUAGCUUAUGUUUACAAAUUUUUGUAAUUGUUGGUUACAUAUGCAGUGGAGUAUAUUCUGAUUAGGUGCUUAAUGAUCUAUUUUGUUUAAACAAUAUUGAGACACAUUGUGAUAUGUUUCGUUUAAACAGUUUUGAGACAAUGGAUUAAGUGAACAAAUUGAAAUGUGAUAAAUAUUCUGAAAAUGAGAUAGGUAAGAUCUUUCAUGAAGAACUAGAGGCGUUUCACAGGCAGAUGGCUUAUAAAAGUUGCUGGUGAAGAGAGUGGUGAUAGCUCAUCGACUUCCUCAUAUGAAACGAGUCUUGAAUGAAAGUAUAAAAAACUAUUUGUUAAUUGUUGACGUCAAUAAGAGAAAGUUGGUGAUGCACACCAAUGUAUAGGAGAUAUAGUUCAUACACAUGAAAAGUUGAUCAAAAAGGUCAAGAAAGGGAAGAUUUCGCCGGACAUGAUAGAUGUGUUCGAGCUAGAGAUCGAGAAAUUUUAGUGUGAGUUCUCCUCUGAAGCUUCGAAACUUGCUGAAGAGUUUGAAAAACUAUCAGUUAAAGCAUCAACAUAUAGCAAGAUAGCUGAGGUAUGAUAUCUUUUCAUUUUAUGUUUUAAAUAAAUAAAAAAUCACACUACAUUUUAUGCUAAGAAUUGUGUUAAUUUAAUGAUUUUUUAAUUUCAGCACGGCGUAGAGGCUAGCCAAAUCAAUGCGCCUAUUCUAGUGAGCAUGCGAGAGCAAGUGAGGACAAGAACUUCAACCUGCCAAACUUUGAAAGAGUUUGAAGCAUAUGAAAAUCAUAGUGGAGGAAGUACAUGUAUAGUUUAUUGUGGGCUACUUGGUCAAACGUAGCCGGUACUUGCAUAAGACUUCGUUUUUUAGAUUUUGCUUAAAAAUUUUGAACUUGGUAGAAUCUCAUGCACUAGUAAAACAAUUACUAUACCUGUGUCACUACUCACUUGUAGUGCCUUCGCACCUCAUAGCAUCCUCAGGAGUAUGUUUGCUUUUUUUUUUUUGCAACUAAUUAUUUUUUCUUCCAAACAUUAUUACGAAUAUGUUGUUUUGACAUAAAAGUACGUUUUUUUUGGAACUGCAAUUCAAAAUUGUUAGAUGUAUAUUCAUUGAGCUAUUAGAAAGAAUGCGAAGGAUAAUUUAUUUUUAUAUACGACAAUUGGUUGGUUUGAUUUGCUUAAGAAUAUAAAAUCUAAUAAAUCUAAUGUUAGGACUAGUUGAAUAGAGCUAUAUGUGUAAGUCAUUUACUUCUGAAGUAUGCAAGUCAUUUACUAGCUGGAUAGUGUUAGGCUAGUUGGAGUGUGUUUUUUUGCUAGUAGUUUUGUAGGGUUUAAUUGCUGGAUUAUCUUUAAUAUCCUAUAUAUUGUUUUAGUUUUUAUUGACAAACAUUAGUGCCCAGCGGAAACCAAUUUUGCUAAACAAAAAGCUUUUAUUUUUAGCUAAUUUUUUUUUUAUUGCAGCUAAAUAUUAUUUUUUCUUCCAAAUAUUUCUAUGUAUAUGUUUUUUUAACAUAAAAGUACGUUUUUUUGGAACUACCAUUCAAAAUUGUUUGAUUUAUAAACAGUUAAGUGUUCUCUAAUUUGAUGCAUUGUGAUGAUUUGUGGAAUAAAUCUAAUUGUCUAGAUAGAUUUGACAUAAUGGAUGAACAUGAACAAAAAGUUGAAAAAUAUUUGAUGUUUUAUGUUAUCAAAUUUUAUUAUUUAAAGUGUUUUGUUUUAUUCAUAGACUAUUAAGUUUUAAUAUAUCUUUAUAACUAUUUAUUUAUGUUUUAGCUUAUGUUUAGAAAUUUUUAUAAUUGUUGGUUACAUAUGCAGUGGAGUAUUUUCUGAUUAGUUGCUUAAUGAUCUAUUUUGUUUAAACAAUAUUGAGACACAUUGUGAUCUGUUUCGUUUAAACAGUUUUGAGACAGUGGAUUAAGUGAACAAAUUGAAAUGUGAUAAAGAUUCUCAAAAUGAGAUAGUUAAGAUCUUUCAUGAAGAACUAGAGGCGUUUCGCAGGCAGAUGGCUUAUAAAAGUUGCUGGUGAAGAGAGUGGUGAUAGCUCAUCGACUUCUUCAUAUGAAACGAGUCUUGAAUGAAAGUAUAAAAAACUAUUUGUUAAUUGUUGACGUCAAUAAGAGAAAGUUGGUGAUGCACACCAAUGUAUAGGAGAUAUAGUUCAUACAUAUGAAAAGUUGAUCAAAAAGGUCAAGAAAGGGGAGAUUUCCCCGGACAUGACGGAUGUGUCCGAGCUAGAGAUCGAGAAAUUUUAGUGUGAGUUCUCCUCUAAAGCUUUGAAACUUGCUGAAGAGUUUGAAAAGCUAUCAGUUAGAGUAUCAACAUAUAGCAAGAUAGCUGAGGUAUGAUAUAUUUUCGUUUUAUGUUUUAAAUAAAUAAAAAAUUACACUACAUUUUAUGCCAAGAAUUGUGUUAAUUUAAUAAUUUUUUAAUUUCAGCACGGCGUAGAGGCUAGCCAAAUCAAUGUGCCUAUUC
RNAcentral lists this long non-coding RNA (2521 nucleotides) under Ananas comosus (pineapple). RNAcentral's name for it is "long non-coding RNA (ACOM_LNC014127)". Lineage: Eukaryota; Viridiplantae; Streptophyta; Magnoliopsida; Poales; Bromeliaceae. The record is from RNAcentral.